UACAUUGGGUGUCAAGUGUAAUAACAAUCUUAGUUCUGCUAUCGACCGCUGUGGUGCGCAUCGGCGUAAACUGCGCACGACUUUUUGGCAUAUGUCUACUACUUUUUCAUUGGAAUAAAAUCUAUACCAAAAUCUAAAUUCACCUCAUCUUUAUAGGCUAUAACUUUACAGUAAUACACUAACACUAGGCAGUGAAAUUAACUUUGCAAAAUUCAAAACCAAAAUUGCUUCUUCGUCAUGAUCUGGCGAGUUCAAUGAUGCAUAGUAUGAUGAUCUAUUUAUUUGAUUUAGGCUGAUUGAGAGGCUAAUUGUGUAAUAUUAUAUACGAAAUCAAAAUACAGAAUUCUUCGCCAUGGC
Daphnia pulicaria is the source of this 357-nucleotide long non-coding RNA. RefSeq lists it as uncharacterized. The transcript has 2 exons. NCBI's taxonomy places the organism in Eukaryota, Metazoa, Arthropoda, Branchiopoda, Diplostraca, Daphniidae. The record is from RefSeq and is a predicted model, not a curated record.